CCUACGGGAGGCAGCAGUGGGGAAUUUUGGACAAUGGGCGCAAGCCUGAUCCAGCAAUGCCGCGUGUGUGAAGAAGGCCUUCGGGUUGUAAAGCACUUUUGUCCGGAAAGAAAUCCGUCUGGCUAAUACCCGGACGGGAUGACGGUACCGGAAGAAUAAGCACCGGCUAACUACGUGCCAGCAGCCGCGGUAAUACGUAGGGUGCGAGCGUUAAUCGGAAUUACUGGGCGUAAAGCGUGCGCAGGCGGCUUUGUAAGACAGAUGUGAAAUCCCCGGGCUCAACCUGGGAACUGCAUUUGUGACUGCAAGGCUAGAGUGCGUCAGAGGGAGGUGGAAUUCCGCGUGUA
Molecule: ribosomal RNA, 347 nt
Filed under: uncultured bacterium
Lineage: Bacteria
Description: bacterial SSU rRNA
Rfam family: Bacterial small subunit ribosomal RNA
Source: RNAcentral